RNAcentral lists this ribosomal RNA (666 nucleotides) under Biemna fistulosa. Its description in RNAcentral is "partial large subunit ribosomal RNA". It matches the Rfam family "Eukaryotic large subunit ribosomal RNA", at positions 656 to 1298 of the family's 3401-position model. Lineage: Eukaryota; Metazoa; Porifera; Demospongiae; Biemnida; Biemnidae. The record is from RNAcentral.
GAAACACGGACCAAGGAGUGUAGCAUGCGCGCGAGUGUUCGGGGUGGGAGCCCCCGGAGCGUAAUGAAGGUGAAGGCGGUCUCUACGAUCGCCGAGGCGCGGGCCCGUCUCUGGCGGGCGCAGCGUCGACCGAUUCCGACCCACGCCGUGGCGGGAUUCGAGUUGGAGCGUGCAUGUUGCGACCCGAAAGAUGGUGAACUAUGCCCGAGUAGGGCGAAGCCAGAGGAAACUCUGGUGGAGGCUCGCAGCGGUUCUGACGUGCAAAUCGAUCGUCAAACUUGGGUAUAGGGGCGAAAGACCAAUCGAACCGUCUAGUAGCUGGUUCCCUCCGAAGUUUCCCCCAGGAUAGCUGGAGCCCGGUGCAGUUUUAUCAGGUCAAGCGAAUGAUUAGAGGUCUUGGGGUUGAAACAACCUCAACCUAUUCUCAAACUUUAAAUGGGUAAGACGGUCGGCUUGCUCGAUUGAAGUCGGCCAGGCGAAUGCCGGGGCUCCUAGUGGGCCAUUUUUGGUAAGCAGAACUGGCGAUGCGGGAUGAACCGAACGCCGGGUUAAGGUGCCGGAGUCGACGCUCAUCAGAUCCCAGAAAAGGUGUUGGUUGAUCUAGACAGCAGGACGGUGGCCAUGGAAGUCGGAAUCCGCUAAGGAGUGUGUAACAACUCACCUGCC